AUUUGUCACUGUUAUGAACGAACGCAAAUUAACCGGAAGAAAGCAAAGAAACUCAAGAGCAAAAAAAAAAACGAAUUGAGUUUAACUACAAAAGAUCAACAAUCUCAUACUACAGAAGAUUUGUUUCACAAGCUUUUGUACUUUCAGUGGUAAAAGCCAUGACCCCCCUAAGACUUUUGCACUAAACUAUAAGAAGUUGGAGCUAGAAGAAUCUCUAGUACAGACUUGUAACAUCCUAAGCGUUAUGUAUGACUUCAAUAAUUGGUCAUCAUUGAAAUAAAGAACCUCAGAAUGCUGUCUUGUAAUCAUCUUUCCUACUCUUUUGUUUUCUUGCUGAGCAUUUUACUUGUGCUUUCUUAUUACUGCAGUGGAACCUAAAGUUACUACUUAUUUCCAGUGAUGAUUACAGUUUUGUGUAGGUAUAUUUAUCCUCAACCUCCAAUAGAAGAGAACAAAGUUCUUGAGGCUGGGAGGACAUUGCCAUAUGAUCUGCAUCUUUGACCUCCAUCACCUCUUUUACAGGAGAGUUUCUGUUCAUCCAGCGUUUAUAAUCCUCAGGUCCUCUUGUGGAAUGCUUCUGACCAGCUGCAGAUUUCAGACAUAUAUCAGAAUCACUUGGAAGAGAUCAGGCAGUACCUUUUGUAAAACAUAAGCAGGUGGGUUUAUUGUGUUGGGCAUGAAAGCUGUCAAGAAAACAAAAACAGCAACCUUAUGUGUAAAGAUGUCGGCAGGAAGCGCAGCGGAUACUCCUCCCAUGCUAUGAGCAACAAGAAUCACCUUUUCUGAGCCAAGCGAGCUCAGAAACUCAAGCAACGGGGUAACAUUGUGACCUGCAGCCUCUAGCUGUGUGUUUUACCUUGUACCAAAUCCAAGCGCCGUGGUAGAGCCCAUGGACAAGCACAAACCACUCCUGUUCUCCUUCUUUACUUCCAGCAUCUUGGUUCAACAAUUAUAUUGAUGGUUGGUUUCCAGGAUACUCUUUUGUAUAUUGACUGUUAGUUUCUGGUCAUUCUCUGAGAUCCAUAGAAUGCCAAACCAACACUACAUUGACUGUUAGUUUUUAUUUUAUUUCAACUACAAAAAGCAAUAAAAUCUGGUUGAAGUGAUUUUGCAUGAGACUUUCAAGUGAUGGCCACUUAGUAAUUGCGGCUUGCAGAACACUGGUAAACGAUCUAGCAGUAAGUUUGCUGGGUAUACUCACCGUUUGAUGUGAUUCUGAAACGGUUUUGUCCACUUUGUAUGUAUGUAUGUAUGCUUGUAGAAUGAAUGUAAGUAGAAUAGUAAACUAUAUUUGUUCACAAACGAUAAAAUGCCACAAUACUACAUAUA
Brassica napus (rape) is the source of this 1329-nucleotide long non-coding RNA. RefSeq lists it as uncharacterized. Lineage: Eukaryota; Viridiplantae; Streptophyta; Magnoliopsida; Brassicales; Brassicaceae. The record is from RefSeq and is a predicted model, not a curated record. The transcript has 2 exons.